AGGUAGGGUGGCCGAGUAGGUGGCGAGUUGUAGCCUCGUUUACGGGAAACAUGCCCCCCCACCAA
RNAcentral lists this transfer RNA (65 nucleotides) under Cyrtodactylus condorensis. RNAcentral describes it as "tRNA-Tyr". The record is from RNAcentral. Lineage: Eukaryota; Metazoa; Chordata; Lepidosauria; Squamata; Gekkonidae.